CAAUAGCGUAUAUUAAAGUUGUUGCGGUCAAAAAGCUCGUAGUUGGAUUUCUGUUGAGAGCGACCGGUCCAUACCAUGUAUGCGUAUCUGGCUUGCUCUCGGCAUCCUCUCGAUAGACGUUACUGCGCUUGAUUGCGUGGUGCGGAUCUCGGGACUUUUACUUUGAGGAAAUUAGAGUGUUCACGGCAGGCUUUCGCCAGAAUACAUUAGCAUGGAAUAAUACUAUAGGAUCUUGGUUCUAUUUUGUUGGUUUCUAGAAUUGAGAUAAUGAUUAAUAGGGACAAUUGGGGGCAUUCGUAUCAACACGUCAGAGGUGGAAUUCUUGGAUUGUGUUGCGACGAACUACUGCGAAAGCAUUUGCCAAGGAUGUUUUCAUUGA
RNAcentral lists this ribosomal RNA (379 nucleotides) under uncultured eukaryote. RNAcentral's name for it is "partial 18S ribosomal RNA". It matches the Rfam family "Eukaryotic small subunit ribosomal RNA", at positions 592 to 976 of the family's 1831-position model. The record is from RNAcentral.